This 371-nucleotide long non-coding RNA is filed under the name Lathyrus oleraceus (garden pea). RNAcentral's name for it is "Pisum sativum (pea) long non-coding RNA (PSAT_LNC004015)". The record is from RNAcentral. Lineage: Eukaryota; Viridiplantae; Streptophyta; Magnoliopsida; Fabales; Fabaceae.
AUUCUUCUAGUCUGUUUUUUUUAAUUUUUUAUCAUAGCCAUGCAUUAUUUAUCCUAUCCUAUUUAUUGUUGUGAUAUUUCUCCGGUGUAAUCUUCGAUUGCACCCUGAUUUGGUGUUCUGACAUGUUUCUUUUUUUUUGAGUUUCGUAAAGGUUCACAUAUCCCAGGAAAAGGUUAUUGGCUAGGUAUUCCACUUUAUUUGUGGGAUACCCUUGUGGAGUUUCACCCUAAAUUAAUUUUUAAUGUAUUAAUUUCUAAUGUAUUAAUUUUUUAAUAUAUUAUUUUUAAUAAUUUUAAUGUGGAGUUUCAUCCUAAUUAUAUAAUUAAUUGUAAAACUUUGCCUUUGAAUAAGUGAUCUUGGACCUCUCUUUG